This 406-nucleotide ribosomal RNA is filed under the name uncultured bacterium. Its description in RNAcentral is "bacterial SSU rRNA". It matches the Rfam family "Bacterial small subunit ribosomal RNA", at positions 29 to 431 of the family's 1533-position model. The record is from RNAcentral.
GCGAACGUUAGCGGCGGGCUUAACACAUGCAAGUCGAGCGAGAAAGGGGCUUCGGCCCUGAGUACAGCGGCGGACGGGUGAAUAACACGUAGGUAACCUUCCUUUCAGCGGGGGACAACGGUCCGAAAGGACCGCUAAUACCGCAUACGUUCCCUGGGACCUCGGUCCUGGGGAGGAAAGGCCCGCAAGGGCCACUGGAUGAGGGGCCUGCGUAGCAUCAGCUAGUUGGUGGGGUAAUGGCCUACCAAGGCGAAGACGCUUAGCUGGUCUGAGAGGAUGAUCAGCCACACUGGGACUGAGACACGGCCCAGACUCCUACGGGAGGCAGCAGUGGGGAAUAUUGGACAAUGGGCGCAAGCCUGAUCCAGCCACGCCGCGUGAGUGAUGAAGGCCUCGGUCGUAAGAC